CUGGCUGGCUGGCGGGACUUGCAGGCUCAAGGCCCUGAGAAGAGGGUGAAAAAGGUGCUGGGACAGUGGAGAAGUGGUCCCAGCAGAACUGAAGGCGAAAACAUGAACAGUGAUAUGGCUGGAGGGCUGAGUCAUGAAGAGGACGCUGCAGUACUUGGACUGAGGCAGGACUGUAGGCAGUGACAAUGAUGGAUGAGACACCACCAGGAGAGGGUGCACCGGCUAGCAGCACUAAUGCCUGUGACAGCCAGCUGGAGGCUCUGCAGUGGGCACCACCUGAGAUGCAGAAGACCUAGAUUCAAGUCCCUGCUCCAAAUCAGUCAGAGCAGAGGGGUGAAAAUAUUCUCCCACAUC
Trachemys scripta elegans is the source of this 354-nucleotide long non-coding RNA. RefSeq lists it as uncharacterized. The transcript is spliced from 3 exons. The record is from RefSeq and is a predicted model, not a curated record. NCBI's taxonomy places the organism in Eukaryota, Metazoa, Chordata, Testudines, Emydidae.